RNAcentral lists this ribosomal RNA (838 nucleotides) under uncultured archaeon. RNAcentral's name for it is "bacterial SSU rRNA". It matches the Rfam family "Archaeal small subunit ribosomal RNA", at positions 27 to 869 of the family's 1478-position model. The record is from RNAcentral.
CUGCUAUCGAGGUUCGAGUAAGCCAUGCUGAGUCAGAAUGUAGCAAUACACGGUGUAUUGCUCAGAGCACAGUGGACAACCUACCCUUGGGUCGAGUAUACACCCGGGAAAGUGAGUAUAAUACGGGAUAGAUCUCGACUGCGGUAAUGCAGCGAGUUUGAAAGCUCAGGCGCCCAAGGAUGGGUCUCCGCCCUAUCAGGUAGUAGUGGGUGUAGCGUACUUACUAGCCUACGAUGGGUACGGAUUGUGAGAGCAAGAGCCCGGAGAUGGAUUCUGAGACACGAAUCCAGGCCCUACGGGGUGCAGCAGGCGCGAAAACUUUGCAAUGCUGGAAACAGCGAUAAGGGGACCUGGAGUGCCAGGUUACAAAUCUGGCUGUGGUGAUGCGUAAAAAGCAUUGCAUAGCAAGGGUCGGGCAAGACCGGUGCCAGCCGCCGCGGUAACACCGGCGGCUAGAGUGGUAACCGUUAUUAUAGGGUGUAAAGGGUCUGUAGCCGGCCGGAUAAGUCUCUUGGGAAAUCUGGCAGCUUAACUGUCAGGCUUUCAGGGGAUACUGUGUGGCUCGAGGCCGGGAGAGGUGAGAGGUACUUCAGGGGUAGGGGUGAAAUCUUGUAAUCCUCGAAGGACCACCAGUGGUGAAGGCGUCUCUCCAGAACGGACCUGACGGCAAGGGAAGAAAGCUAGGGGCACGAACCGGAUUAGAUACCCGGGUAGUCAUAGCCGUAAACGAUUCUCGGUAGGUGUCGCCCACGGUGCGCCCGUGGUCGGUCCCGUAGGGUAUCCGUGAAGCGAGCCACCAGGAAGUACGGCCGCAAGGCUCAAACUCAACGGAAUUGGC